This 446-nucleotide ribosomal RNA is filed under the name Treponema sp. oral taxon 231. RNAcentral describes it as "bacterial SSU rRNA". It matches the Rfam family "Bacterial small subunit ribosomal RNA", at positions 29 to 463 of the family's 1533-position model. The record is from RNAcentral. Lineage: Bacteria; Pseudomonadati; Spirochaetota; Spirochaetia; Treponematales; Treponemataceae.
AACGAACGCUGGCGGCGCGUCUUAAGCAUGCAAGUCGAACGGCAAGAGAGGAGCUUGCUUCUCUCCUAGAGUGGCGGACUGGUGAGGAACACGUGGGUAAUCUACCCUUAAGAUGGGGAUAGCUGCUAGAAAUAGCAGGUAAUACCGAAUACACUCGGCAUAGCACAAGAGAUGUUGAGGAAAGGAAGCUACGGCUUCGCUUGAGGAUGAGCUUGCGUCCCAUUAGCUAGUUGGUGAGGUAAAGGCCCACCAAGGCGACGAUGGGUAUCCGGCCUGAGAGGGUGAACGGACACAUUGGGACUGAGAUACGGCCCAAACUCCUACGGGAGGCAGCAGCUAAGAAUAUUCCGCAAUGGACGGAAGUCUGACGGAGCGACGCCGCGUGGAUGAAGAAGGCUGAAAAGUUGUAAAAUCCCUUUUGUUGAUGAAGAAUAAAGGGUGAGAGG